This 269-nucleotide unclassified non-coding RNA is filed under the name Oryza sativa (Asian cultivated rice). RNAcentral's name for it is "partial microRNA MIR486k precursor". Lineage: Eukaryota; Viridiplantae; Streptophyta; Magnoliopsida; Poales; Poaceae. The record is from RNAcentral.
AUGGAAAUUGAUACUCCCUCCAUCCUAUAAUAUAAGGGAUUUUAAGUUUUUGCUUACACUGUUUGACCAUUCGUCUUAUUCAAAAAAAUUUUACAAUUAUUAUUUAUUUUCUUUGUGACUUACUUUAUUAUUCCAAGUACUUUAAGCACAACUUUUCGUUUUUAUAUUUGCACAAAUUUGUUGAAUAAGACGAGUGGUCAAACAUUGCAAACAAAAACUCAAAAUCUCUUAUAUUAUAGGACGGAGGGAGUAAUAAAUAUUUAUCAUGU